Molecule: non-coding RNA, 45 nt
Filed under: Schistosoma mansoni
Lineage: Eukaryota; Metazoa; Platyhelminthes; Trematoda; Strigeidida; Schistosomatidae
Source: RNAcentral
UUCCGGCUGACGAGUCCCGAAUAGGACGAAACGCGCGUCCUGAAU